AGGAGGAACAACCACAGUGGCCGCGGCCAGCUCUGGAGCCCUGGAUUCAGCUCCCGCAGUAGCUACAGAGCUCUUGGGCUGCAGGGACCUGGGGGCUCCCGGGGGGG
This 107-nucleotide microRNA precursor is filed under the name Canis lupus familiaris (dog). Its description in RNAcentral is "mir-8834 microRNA precursor family". It matches the Rfam family "mir-8834 microRNA precursor family". The record is from Rfam by way of RNAcentral. Lineage: Eukaryota; Metazoa; Chordata; Mammalia; Carnivora; Canidae. RNAcentral also lists the same sequence under 1 other name.